AGUGAACGCUGGCGGUAGGCCUAACACAUGCAAGUCGAACGGCAGCACAGUAAGAGCUUGCUCUUACGGGUGGCGAGUGGCGGACGGGUGAGGAAUACAUCGGAAUCUACUUUUUCGUGGGGGAUAACGUAGGGAAACUUACGCUAAUACCGCAUACGACCUACGGGUGAAAGCAGGGGAUCUUCGGACCUUGCGCGAUUGAAUGAGCCGAUGUCGGAUUAGCUAGUCGGCGGGGUAAAGGCCCACCAAGGCGACGAUCCGUAGCUGGUCUGAGAGGUUGAUCAGCCACACUGGAACUGAGACACGGUCCAGACUCCUACGGGAGGCAGCAGUGGGGAAUAUUGGACAAUGGGCGCAAGCCUGAUCCAGCCAUACCGCGUGGGUGAAGAAGGCCUUCGGGUUGUAAAGCCCUUUUGUUGGGAAAGAAAAGCAGCAGGUUAAUACCCCGCUGUUCUGACGGUACCCAAAGAAUAAGCACCGGCUAACUUCGUG
This 492-nucleotide ribosomal RNA is filed under the name uncultured bacterium. Its description in RNAcentral is "partial 16S ribosomal RNA". It matches the Rfam family "Bacterial small subunit ribosomal RNA", at positions 29 to 507 of the family's 1533-position model. The record is from RNAcentral.